RNAcentral lists this ribosomal RNA (492 nucleotides) under uncultured bacterium. RNAcentral's name for it is "partial 16S ribosomal RNA". It matches the Rfam family "Bacterial small subunit ribosomal RNA", at positions 29 to 507 of the family's 1533-position model. The record is from RNAcentral.
AGUGAACGCUGGCGGUAGGCCUAACACAUGCAAGUCGAACGGCAGCACAGUAAGAGCUUGCUCUUACGGGUGGCGAGUGGCGGACGGGUGAGGAAUACAUCGGAAUCUACUUUUUCGUGGGGGAUAACGUAGGGAAACUUACGCUACUACCGCAUACGACCUACGGGUGAAAGCAGGGGAUCUUCGGACCUUGCGCGAUUGAAUGAGCCGAUGUCGGAUUAGCUAGUUGGUGGGGUAAAGGCCCACCAAGGCGACGAUCCGUAGCUGGUCUGAGAGGAUGAUCAGCCACACUGGAACUGAGACACGGUCCAGACUCCUACGGGAGGCAGCAGUGGGGAAUAUUGGACAAUGGGCGCAAGCCUGAUCCAGCCAUACCGCGUGAGUGAAGAAGGCCUUCGGGUUGUAAAGCCCUUUUGUUGGGAAAGAAAAGCAGCAGGUUAAUCCCCCGCUGUUCUGACGGUACCCAAAGAGUAAGCACCGGCUAACUUCGUG